CUUCAUCCUUGUCUUUCUUCUCAUCAUCAUCCUCAUCCUCAUUUUCAAGCAGAUCAAAUGCAGAACUCCUCAUCCUGCCACCCUUAUUCGACUUCUUUUUCUUGUCCGUGAAAGUAAUAGGUUCAUCAUCUUCAUCUUUGUCUUCCUUCAAAUCAUCAUUUUCAUUGACAAGCAGAUCGAAAGCAGAACUGUUCUUGCCACUCUUCUUUGAUUUCUUUUUCUUGUCUGUGAAAAUAACAGGUUCAUCUUCUUCAUCUUUGUCUUCCCUCACAUCCUCAUCUUCAUCAUCAAGAAGAUCAAAAGCAGAGGCCGAAAAUCCAGUAGUACCGCUCUUCUUCUUGCCACCUUUCUUUGACUUCUCCACCACAUCAUCAUCAUCAUCAUCACUCUCCUCCACAGAAUGAUCAUCAUCAAUCACCUCACUUUCACUACCACCAUCAACUGCAUCAAAAGCCGCUGCCGUAAACAGACUACCACUCUUAUUCCCACCUUUCUUCAAACCCUCCUUCGUUUUACCCUUACUCGCCAGAGAAACAUACUUCCCCUCACUAAGUUUAUCCCCUGAAU
Molecule: long non-coding RNA, 567 nt
Filed under: Citrus maxima (pomelo)
Lineage: Eukaryota; Viridiplantae; Streptophyta; Magnoliopsida; Sapindales; Rutaceae
Description: long non-coding RNA (CMAX_LNC001591)
Source: RNAcentral